AGGGGUUGUGGUGGUGGAAUGGGGUUAGGAGGGAAUCUGAGGCUGGUGACGGGGGGGUGAGAGGAGGGCAGGUGGGGUUCAGCUGGAAGGGAACGAAAGGAGCAAAUUUAGAGCGGAGUAACGUGUUCGUCAACAGUGACAGGGCAGAGCUGAAGAGUCUGAGAGGACAGCCGAGCUCCAACCUGCUCCAACUGGUGCUUCACGUCUUUGGGAAUGUUUACUGGAAGAAGCUGGAGUACCUGGAGAAAACCCACGCAUACACAGGGAGAACAUGCAAACUUGAUGCAGAAAGAUCCCAGGCCCGGGCAUGAACCAGGGAUCUUCUAGCUGCAGGGCGACGGUGUUAACCCCCGAGACACUGUGCAGUCCCCAAUUCAACAACAGACUAAUUCUCCAACUACAUAAUUCUCCUGAAUCACCACCGCGUCUUUCAGCAAACAUGCCGACAACAAUCCUUCAAAGAGACCAGCCACUUGGGCAAGAAGCUGCCCAGGCUGGUCCUCAGCAGGAUGGACCAGCUGGAGAGGUGCAGGAGCAGCAGAACCAGCAGGAACCAGCAGGAACCCAACCUGUACCUGAAUAACCUCACUGAAGCCUUUUUGGUCUUGCAAAAAGAAAAUAUGAUGCUGGUCUCAGAACCUGUCCUGAAGCAGAAAAUGGUUGUUAAUAAAGGCAUCUUCCAGACCUCGGACAAACUGACAAAGAAAGAGGAUGAGAUGGAGGAAAGAGAAAAAAAGAAAAGAAAGAACAUGAGAGAAGAGAGAAGUUGAGAAAGGAGGAAUAAUGGACUUUCUCUGCUUCUUCAAAUAUCCCUCUCUCCCCAAUCCUCCCCCUCAAUCCUCAUCUGCAUUUCUGUCCCACACUUCAUACAUGUCACAUACACAUAGUACUACUUAAAGUAGUAAAAAUGCAAUAUUAUAUUUUCAAAUAGUAAAUAAUAAAAUGAAGAAUAAUUAAAAAUACUACAAAUAAUUAUAUGAAAUUAAUAAUAAUAAAAAAAACAUUAUCUGAUGGUUUCAGUACAAAUAAAAAAAACAAAAAACACCUCCAUUCCCGUAAAAAAAAAAAAAAAAAAAAAGCUGUGUUAUGCUCCGACUAAAUUCAAACUUUGAACCUGAAUUCAAGUUAAAAAAACACAAAUGCUGCUGGACUACAAUGAGACAAAGGGAGGGGUGGACAACCUGUCAACACAUGACUGCCUGUUGGCCCCUUGUCAUCUUCUUCCACAUCAUUGAUAUUAGUGCAUGCGAUGCAUUUGUGAUAUGGUAUGAAAUAAAUAAGGACUGGAACGGGAAAACUGAGCCGAAGGAGGAUUUUCCUGGAGCAGCUUGGUAAUGCACUGGUGAAACCUCAGAUUGAGAGAAGACAGUGCCUUCCAAGAGCAUCAACAGCUGCAGCAGCUGUUGAGAGGACAUUCAGACAGAGACAAACACUCCAACUCCUCCAAUGGUACAAACCGCAGGCAAGAAGUGCGGCAGCAGUGAAGUGAAGCGUGGCGUCAGAGUUGGUAGGUCUGCGUAAUACAGCCGAGCAACUGGUCAAUGAAAAGUAACGCUGACCCCAGAGGUCACUGGGAGGGGUUUGUACUCCGAACAUUCGGAUCAAUAUUUGGAUACCACCAACCAACGAUGGAAUAUUAGGUCCAGCCCUACUGUAACCUAGUAGUUCUAUUAGCGUCUGUAUAUAAUCAAUGACUGACCGUCAAAUCAAAUAAAUCGAGUGCGGUUCAAAAACAUUUUGACAACAUUUGUUAACUGUACAUCUUAAAAUAAAGGACAGAAAAACAAUCAACAAUGUGAACCAGCUUAUAUACAUCUUUAACAAUACCUAAAUCUGAAAAAAAUUCAACAAUUGAACACUUUUACAUUUUUUCCUGUCUUCUAUCACUUCGCUUAAAUACCCUGCUGCUUAAUGGGAGAACUGAGCUGCAGCUGCCAGUAUUUUUAAAUGUGGCCUCAGUGGUGUCAGGGCCAUUCCCAAGAACAUUUGGAGCUCAUUGAUGAGUCUGGAAUGAUAUUUAGUUUUAAUUAUAUUCAUCCUUGAGAAAGCAGCCUUUAGCUGAACAUGGUCAGCAUGUGCAGGGCUACUUUCUCAGACCUGGGAAACCAGUUCUAGAGACCAUUUGGAGCCAGAAAAUGGCAGGGUUGGUUCCUCUGAACUGCUCUUUAAGGACCACAUGUACUUGGAGAUCAGCUUAUCAGCAAAGUCAACAAAAGAAGACUCAUCUCUCUGUCCCUGAACCUGUAUGCAAUGCUGUGAAGUGGACACAGUCUUCCUUCCAAGUUUCCUCUGAAAGGAGCAGGCAGCUGUCAACAGUUCACAAACUGAACUGUCCUUGCCCUGUAGCUUCAAAUUCAGUUCACUGUCAGGUGAUAUCUGUAAUGAUAACAGCAAAUGCAUAUUUGCCUAGUAUCAAUGGUUCAUGUGAAUGCUGCUUAUACCUCCGGACAGUAGGGGGCGUUCGGGGUCUGUGAGUAGAUUAAGCGCAGAGCACAGACGUGUUUAAGGUUCCUGUCUGUACAUGUGAUGAAGCCAAGUUUUAUAUAAAGUACCUUCUUCUUCAAGUAACGGCUUUAUUAUUAAGAACCCACAACAAAAACAAUACAUGGUGUCAGAAGGUGGUCUUGAAGAGAGGUAAUGGACGCAAAUAUAAACAACGAGGACGAGCUACCGAGGCAAGCUAAUGUUAGCCACCCAGCUAACAGUACCGACGCAUCAGCUCAGCAGUGAACUUUGUGUUGCUAACUGGUCGUGAGAGAAAGAGGACUAGCGACGACAACAUGGACGGCUUGCACCCACCACCAGCCCUUCAGCUUACUGGGAAUGUGGCUGAAAAUUGGAGGAGAUUUAAGCAACGCUUUGCUUUGUACAUAUCGGCAAUUGGACUUGACGAGGCAAGUGACAAAAAGCAAGUGGCAGUGUUUUUGCACGUAGUGGGUGAGGAUGCACUAGAAGUUUAUAAUAACUUCACGUUUGCUGAUGGAGACACAAUGAAGCUAAAUAAGAUAAUGGAGAAUUUUGAAGCUUACUGCAUACCUAAGAGAAAUGUGACAUUUGAGAGGCACAGAUUCUUCACAUGUGUACAGAAGACAGGAGAGACAAUCGAUCAGUAUGUAACAGAGGUACGGAACAGAAGUAAGUAGGGUUGCCACCUUUCAGAAAUGAAAAUAAAGGAUGCCCACCACGGCUCCUUGGGGCCACAGUUCAGUAAAAUCGGAAAGAUAUUCACAGAUUCAGAAUUCCACCAUCAAUAACUCAUUAUAAACGAUCCCUCUUUUCCAUCGCUGUAAGGUAGACAAUGUGCUACAAGCCUAGUUUUAUCAACAGUAGCUGUCUUUCAAGCUGCACAAAUAACAUUGGUGUCAACAGGAGCCAGUUGAAGGCUGCAGUGAUUCUGGUGACACUACAGUGUAUCAGAGAGAAGCUAUUGAAUAUUUGUGUCUCUCUUUGCUGUUGCAGCAGUUUUGCAAUUUGCACACGGUCCCUGUUCACUCCAUAGACAUCAAUGUUAUUCAUGCAGCUUGAAAGACAGCUACUGUUGAUAAAACUGGGCUUGUAGCACAUUGUCUACCUUACAACGAUGGAAAAGAGGCAUCGUUUAUGUUUUGACCAGUGUUGCCAACUCCUCAGUAAGGAAAGUAGCUAUUGGCUGUCCUAAAAGUCGCUAGAAGUCGCUAAAUGACCUCAUCGCCUAAUUUGCAUCAUUUCCCGUUUGCAUGUAAUUGUAAUCAACGUUGUAGGAGAGACAAAAAGUGAGUUUAAAAUACCCAAAAUAUGUUUCUGAACUAGAGGCUAAAUGCAGUGAUUUAUUUUAGUGUGACAGUGAAGAAACAUUUUCAUUUCCAUCCCGCUCUGUAAGCAGGACGGGAUCUGCAGAGACUUUGAUUUAUCUGCCGUCUGGACAUGGAGUGAUGUGGGUCUCCUUCCUCUAAUCAGACAGUGGGAUGCUGCAGGUCACUAGACUGACUUUCUGUGCUUUGGAAGGGGAGGAGCUCACAGCGCCACCUGCUGCUCGUUGAGGACAGUAACUGCAGAACGAUCCGAGCUUUCAUGUCAGACGGGCGGAUCUAGAUUAAUUUUAGUGGGGGGCACAGGAGGGUACAACAGAUAUUUUGGGGGGGCUGUAAGAAAAAAAUGAAAGCUGCUACCGUAUUUUUCAUGUUUUUUUUUUUUUUUUUUUGCUCUUUAACCCAAUAGGAAAGCUGUAUAUGACCUUUUCAUUUUUGGACUGUUAACAUUCAAAUUAUGAUGGACUUGUUUCCUUGUUUAUGUGAAUUACAGCAUCAUUAGCUGCAACAUCUGCCUGUUCUGUAAAACUGGUAGCUCAACGACAGCAUCCUGAGGGCAAUUAAGUGACAAAUACUGUGCAAGAACAGCACUAUUACAACCCUGUCAAUUUCCACUUCUUAGAAUGUUUACUGCCAAUUAUUACAUAUAAAACAAGAAAUAAUAUUCUGUACUAAUACUUCUGUACUACCCAAUACACAGUGAAUAAAUAUUAUCUGAAAGUUAGGUUAUUGUUGUUUAUCAGCACAAUACAAAAAGAUUCAUGUUAGUAAUAUUCCAGUUAAGACUCUAGAAUAUCAUGAUUUAUGUAAAUUUACCUCAAUAAUAUGAAUGUUCAGGUUAAGAUUGUACAGUGAUAUUUAUUAUGUAAGUUUAGCUGAAUAAAGUUUAUGACUCUGCACUACAAUAGUAUUUAUUAUUUAAAUUUACAUCAUUAUUAUAAUAUUUAGAGUCAGACUACAGUAUUGAGAUUAAGAAAUCAAAUAUUCUAUAAAAUGUAAAUACACUGAACUCAUUUGGAUAUAUUUAAGUGAGACUCUACAAUAUUCUUUGACACAAAUCUAUCUAAAUCAAAAAUUUUAACCAUUUUUACUCCAAACAUUUACUGGACUGAUUUAAAUAUUAAAAUCACUCCUUUCUAAUCCUCUGCUGUACGUUCAAACCUGAGGCCUUAAAUAGAAACACACAAGUAUCUGAUUGAAGGAACUUCUGCAGAGUCCUGGUUCCAGAACAUGAUGAUAGAAUUAUAGACAAACUUUAACAAAAGCUGCCUGAGAGUUUACAGGUUUUUAUGUUAGAUUUCUUCAGUAAUUUAAUGACAGUUAUCAGCAAAAAUCAAGUGUUCAUUUGAUGAACUUCAUUUCCUAAAACAUCCAGAAUUGGAGCUCAUAUCUUUGGCAGCUGUAAAGUUUCUGCUCCUUCAAAGUUCACAACACAAUGAAUGAAUUCCUAAAACACUCUCAAUGCUGGAGAGCGUUUGUGAUGCUGAAGCAGUGAUCAGUUUUUCUGUUUCUUCUCUGGAGAUGCACAAUGAGGGACGUCUGCAGAGACUGAGAAAGAGUCUCACCACAUCCUGACAUGAGGAAAAAGACUUUAUUGAAGACUACAAUGAGAAAAACUAUCAGACAGCAGACGGCUGCAUUCAAGGUGAGCUCUGAACAUUUGAUCUGGAACAGGAAUUCAAUAACGGCAGCAUGAGCUUCAUUUCAGUCUGUAGCUGCUGAAUUCAUGGAUGAAUCAUCUGGCACUAGAGAGGAAGACCAUCAAACAUCCACGUCAGCUGAUGGAGGUCCAAGAGUCUCACCCAACAAACAACCUACAGAGUGAAGACCUCAAAUCUGAUUGGACGGCCUCCUAUUCAGCCACAUGUGUGAACAAAUGCCUCUAAGCUGAUUUGUUUUCUAAAAUAAAUCUAGUUUGAGUCCUAA
Amphiprion ocellaris (clown anemonefish) is the source of this 5714-nucleotide long non-coding RNA. RefSeq lists it as uncharacterized. The transcript has 2 exons. Lineage: Eukaryota; Metazoa; Chordata; Actinopteri; Pomacentridae. The record is from RefSeq and is a predicted model, not a curated record.